This 864-nucleotide ribosomal RNA is filed under the name uncultured bacterium. RNAcentral describes it as "bacterial SSU rRNA". It matches the Rfam family "Bacterial small subunit ribosomal RNA", at positions 8 to 908 of the family's 1533-position model. The record is from RNAcentral.
AGAGUUUGAUCAUGGCUCAGAACGAACGCUGGCGGCACGCCUAACACAUGCAAGUCGAGCGCACUUAUGAUCUUCGGAUUAUAGGCGAGCGGCGGACGGGUUAGUAACGCGUGGGAACGUACCCUUUACUAAGGAAUAGCCUUUGGAAACGAAGAGUAAUACCUUAUACGCCCUUCGGGGGAAAGAUUUAUCGGUAAAGGAUCGGCCCGCGUAAGAUUAGAUAGUUGGUGGGGUAAUGGCCUACCAAGUCUACGAUCUUUAGCUGGUUUGAGAGGAUGAUCAGCAACACUGGGACUGAGACACGGCCCAGACUCCUACGGGAGGCAGCAGUGGGGAAUCUUAGACAAUGGGCGAAAGCCUGAUCUAGCGAUGCCGCGUGAGUGAAGAAGGCCUUAGGGUCGUAAAACUCUUUCGCCAGAGAUGAUAAUGACAGUAUCUGGUAAAGAAACCCCGGCUAACUCCGUGCCAGCAGCCGCGGUAAUACGGAGGGGGUUAGCGUUGUUCGGAAUUACUGGGCGUAAAGCGCACGUAGGCGGACUGAUCAGUUAGAGGUGAAAUCCCAGGGCUCAACCCUGGAACUGCCUUUAAUACUGUCAGUCUAGAGAUCGAGAGAGGUGAGUGGAAUUCCUAGUGUAGAGGUGAAAUUCGUAGAUAUUAGGAGGAACACCAGUGGCGAAGGCGGCUCACUGGCUCGAUACUGACGCUGAGGUGCGAAAGCGUGGGGAGCAAACAGGAUUAGAUACCCNGGUAGUCCACGCCGUAAACGAUGAGAGCUAGACGUCGGGCAGCAUGCUGUUCGGUGUCGCAGUUAACGCAUUAAGCCCUCCGCCUGGGAGUACGGUCGCAAGAUUAAAACUCNNUGAA